GAUGAACGCUGGCGGCGUGCCUAAUACAUGCAAGUCGAGCGAACAGAUGAGGAGCUUGCUCCUCUGACGUUAGCGGCGAACGGGUGAGUAACACGUGGAUAACCUACCUAUAAGACUGGGAUAACUUCGGGAAACCGGAGCUAAUACCGGAUAAUAUAUUGAACCGCAUGGUUCAAUAGUGAAAGACGGUUUUGCUGUCACUUAUAGAUGGAUCCGCGCCGCAUUAGCUAGUUGGUAAGGUAACGGCUUACCAAGGCAACGAUGCGUAGCCGACCUGAGAGGGUGACCGGCCACACGGGAACUGAGACACGGUCCAGACUCCUACGGGAGGCAGCAGUAGGGAAUCUUCCGCAAUGGGCGAAAGCCUGACGGAGCAACGCCGCGUGAGUGAUGAAGUUCUUCGGAUCGUAAAACUCUGUUAUUAGGGAAGAACAAAUGUGUAAGUAACUAUGCACGUCUUGACGGUACCUAAUCAGAAAGCCACGGCUAACUACGUG
Molecule: ribosomal RNA, 497 nt
Filed under: uncultured bacterium
Lineage: Bacteria
Description: partial 16S ribosomal RNA
Rfam family: Bacterial small subunit ribosomal RNA
Source: RNAcentral